RNAcentral lists this ribosomal RNA (266 nucleotides) under uncultured bacterium. RNAcentral describes it as "partial 16S ribosomal RNA". It matches the Rfam family "Bacterial small subunit ribosomal RNA", at positions 1226 to 1500 of the family's 1533-position model. The record is from RNAcentral.
UACAAUGGCAGGUACAGAGGGAUGCUACCGGGCGACCGGAUGCGGAUCUCGAAAGCCUGUCCCAGUUCGGACUGGAGUCUGCAACCCGACUCCACGAAGUUGGAUUCGCUAGUAAUCGCGCAUCAGCCAUGGCGCGGUGAAUACGUUCCCGGGCCUUGUACACACCGCCCGUCAAGCCAUGGGAGCCGGGGGCGCCUGAAGUCCGGGACCGCGAGGACCGGCCUAGGGCGAAACUGGUAACUGGGGCUAAGUCGUAACAAGGUAAC